CGCAGUUUUGCAAAUUUCUUCAAAAUCUGAUGUCUGCACAUUUGUCUCCAGCCUAUAUGGCAACAUAUCUGCCUCAAUCAUUUUUUCGUUUUCCAGCUUUGUCAUCACAUCAUUUAACCGUUCAAUCUCUGGAUAAACUAUGGGCUUACUACAAAUACUUGCAAGUCUGUUUGUUGUGCUCCUAGGAAAUGUGUAAGGUGGGAAAAAUUUAUCGGAAUUAUAGAUAUGAUGGGUAAGUGUGUAUGCUGAUGACUUUGAAAUCAUGAUGAUUGUGGUGGGGGUUUUAAAUUAAUUGUCAGUCACUUUAUAAAGUACACCUGUCCUCCCUGCAUAAUUAUACACAUAGUGGCCGCAUCAUAUUUGCGAGCACAAGCAGCUAUGCAUGAAUCAAUAUAUUAGAAUGUAAGAACAUUCGACAAAUUUUGAUGAGUGCAGACUUUGUCGCCAAUCCUAUUUACCUAAUUUUACCAUAAUCACAUUAAGUCGAGUGUCCAGGUCUUUAUUCUGUCCACAUUUCUCUGCAAUGACUGCACUGAUUCUAGAUUAUCUGCCAUUACACCUAUCAAAACAUCAUUUGAAUUCUUAAAUUCAUAUACAUUAGCAUUCAAGGGUUUGGAAUCACACAGGAAAGGAACUUUUAUGUUUUGGAUAGAAACUGAU
This is a long non-coding RNA of Erpetoichthys calabaricus (reedfish), 660 nucleotides long. RefSeq lists it as uncharacterized. The record is from RefSeq and is a predicted model, not a curated record. The transcript is spliced from 2 exons. NCBI's taxonomy places the organism in Eukaryota, Metazoa, Chordata, Cladistia, Polypteriformes, Polypteridae.